UGCGCCUACGGGGCGCAGCAGUGAGGAAUAUUGGUCAAUGGGCGCUAUCCUGAACCAGCCAAGUAGCGUGAAGGAUGACUGCCCUAUGGGUUGUAAACUUCUUUUAUCUGGGAAUAAAGUGCAGUAUGUAUACUGCUUUGCAUGUACCUUAUGAAUAAGGAUCGGCUAACUCCGUGCCAGCAGCCGCGGUAAUACGGAGGAUCCGAGCGUUAUCCGGAUUUAUUGGGUUUAAAGGGAGCGUAGGCGGUCUGUUAAGUCAGUUGUGAAAGUUUGCGGCUCAACC
This 283-nucleotide ribosomal RNA is filed under the name uncultured bacterium. RNAcentral describes it as "partial 16S ribosomal RNA". It matches the Rfam family "Bacterial small subunit ribosomal RNA", at positions 335 to 614 of the family's 1533-position model. The record is from RNAcentral.